RNAcentral lists this ribosomal RNA (253 nucleotides) under uncultured bacterium. RNAcentral describes it as "partial 16S ribosomal RNA". It matches the Rfam family "Bacterial small subunit ribosomal RNA", at positions 524 to 776 of the family's 1533-position model. The record is from RNAcentral.
UACGUAGGGUGCGAGCGUUAAUCGGAAUUACUGGGCGUAAAGCGUGCGCAGGCGGAUUUUUAAGCCAGAUGUGAAAUCCCCGGGCUUAACCUGGGAAUUGCAUUUUGAACUGGCAGGCUAGAGUGUGGCAGAGGGGGGUGGAAUUCCACGUGUAGCAGUGAAAUGCGUAGAUAUGUGGAGGAACACCGAUGGCGAAGGCAGCCCCCUGGGACAACACUGACGCUCAUGCACGAAAGCGUGGGGAGCAAACAGG